This is an RNA transcript of Larimichthys crocea (large yellow croaker), 4405 nucleotides long. It is a transcript of the gene named bromodomain containing 8a, with no coding region annotated. The transcript is spliced from 20 exons. Lineage: Eukaryota; Metazoa; Chordata; Actinopteri; Sciaenidae. The record is from RefSeq and is a predicted model, not a curated record.
GUACCACCGUGAAGCUGCCGCGGUGGGCGUGACGAACACUUGUACUAGCUAAAAUGAUGAAUAACGAUGAAGACCGCUGCGAGCUAAAUGUCGUGUGUGCCGCUGCUCUCCUUCUUUUUCUGGUGAACGUAGUUUCUCGUGAGCUCAACGCGCAGUCCAGCCUGUUCGCCUGCGCAGGGGGAAAGCCUCCCUCGUGUAGCAUUUGAGCUAGUUCAUCUUCCAAGUUCCCGAUAGCUGAGACACGCACGGGGAGAGUUUAACGGACAGCGGUGAUUCAGCUCGAGACUGAAGAGCACGGGGAGCGGGACGCCGUUUGAUGUUAGCGUCCAUCACUGCGUGCGUGUCGUCCUCGGCUCGAAUAGCCUGCUUUGUGUCUGACGGGAUGUCGGGAUGACAGGAAGAUGGCAAACGGGGUUGGAAAACACAAGCUGCUUGUCAUUGGACCAACGGAGCCGUGGUCAGUGAGGGAGAAGCUGUGUUUGGCCACAUCUGUCAUGAAGAGUGGAGACCAGAACUGGGUGUCUGUCAGUCGAACCAUCAAACCAUUUGCAGAAUCUGGGCGACCCCCUGACUGGUUCUCACAAAAGCACUGUGCCUCUAAGUAUUCCGAGCUCCUGCAAACAACAGAAACCCCAAAGCGUAAGCGUGGAGAGAAAGGUGAAGUGGUGGAGACGGUGGAGGACGUGAUAGUGCGCAGGCUCACAGCCGAGAGGAUCGACGAGCUAAAAAAGCUGAUCAAAGAAACGCAGGAGAAGCACAGGAAGCUGAAGAGAGAGGCUGAACUGAUUCAAGCAGGAUAUCUUGAUUCCAAACUCGAGGAGUUAUGGGAAGAGAUCCUGCAGAAGAAGAAACUGGAAGAGGAGGAGGCAGAGUUGAAAAGAAAACACACAGAUGCUGCUUAUCAGGCCAGACAGGUGGCAAAGAACACACCUAAACGAGUGAUCGGCAUCACCAUGCAUACGCCCUCAGACUGCCGCUCCCCAAGCCAGGAGUUCUCAUCAGGCGACCCACUCAAGUGCUUGACUCUGGAUCUCGAAUCUACAAAGAAUGCUUCAGGGUCAGCCAGAUUAAUGACAAUCCCUGAGUCUUCUGGACCCGGUAGUGAUGACGCGAGCCACGGGUCACUUCUGGAUGACCCCACCCAAAAAAAGCUACUGGGGCAGAAAGCCACACCACCGCCAUCUCCACUCCUGUCAGAGUUACUGAAAAAAGGCAGUAUCUUGGCCACAAAUUCCAGACUGAUUGGCGACGGCGACGCUGGUAACAUGACAGGAGCGCUUGACUUGCAGCUGGCUCCACCUAGUCAACCUCUCUCUCAGGCAACAGGUGCCCCAAUGUUGUCUCGUCUCCUGGAGGCGGGACCCGCCCAGUUUUCUGCCCCGUUAGGUUUCAUGGUCGGCGCAGACUCUGCCUCCCGUGCUCCCCUCUCUGCUGCCACUCCUGUUCCUGUUGAUGCCACCGUCUCAGCGAGUACAGAGAUGGAUGUCAUGGUGCCGUCUGUGCCCCCUGCGUGCCAGCCUGUCUCUGCAGAGGACAAAGUGUCAGAGCUCAGUGAGGAGGACGUGAGCGUGUCCUACAUGGGAGACGAGCUGGACCUGAAGACUGUGGGGGACAUAAUCGCCAUCAUCGAAGACAAGGCAGAUGAGGCUGCAGAGGCUUUGGAUGCAGCUGCAGUCGAGGCUGCUCUGUCACUGUGCGAGGAGAACGGCCAUGCUAUGUCUGCUGCUUGGGAGGCUGGGCCUUUUCAGCCCCACGAGCCUCACCCAGCAGUGCCCACAGAGGUCCCGCAGUCCUUACGGCCGUUGUCUCUUCACAGUACCGUCGAGGGGAAGACAGAACUCUCCUCUCUGUGCAACACUCAACAUAACUGUCUCACAGCAUUACCCAUGGGACUGAGGGCCCUUCCUCCCACCUCCUCAUCCUCAUGCAACUCGAAGAGUUUGGAACACUGCCACACUGGACCUCCUCCACAGCCUGAGGCAGUGAGACAGAGUGGAGAGAUGGUGCAGCAAAAGAGCCAAAUUUCAUUGGAUGGCACCAUAAAAUGUAAGAGUGAGAAGUGGACACAGCAAAGACCUGAUAGACCCUAUGGAGACUCAGUAUUAGGACAUAGCCCACUGACAGAAAGGCAUCCCAAGGGGAUGAAGGCAGAGGAUGGGACGAGCAUUAAGCGAGGACAGAACGUCUCAGGGACCAAAGUGCACAACGAGAUCAACGAGCCAGAGGUGUGUGGAGAAGAAGAGGGCGAUGGGGUGGAGGGAUUCCUGUCAGAGCCGGACGGGGAGAUGGAGCUAGAACCCGCAGCCAGCGAGAGCGAGGACGGAUACAGCCUGCACACGGCCUCCUCGUCUCUGCAGCUCCACACGGCCGCUGACUCCAUCCCCAGCAGCCCCGCCUCGUCACAGUUCUCCGUGUGCAGCGAGGACCUGGAAGCUCUACAGGCUCACAAGAUUUGGAAGAAAGCCAUUAUGCUGGUGUGGCGUGCAGCGGCCAAUCACAGGUAUGCAAAUGUCUUCCUGCAGCCAGUAACAGAUGAAAUUGCACCUGGGUACCACAGUAUUGUGCACAGGCCCAUGGACCUGGCCACCAUAAAAAAGAACAUUGAGACCGGUCUGAUUCGGACCACCGCAGAGUUCCAGAGGGACAUCAUGCUGAUGUUUCAGAACGCGGUCAUGUACAAUGGCCUGGAUCACGACGUGUACCACAUGGCUCUGGAGAUGCAGCGUGACGUCCUGGAACAGAUCCAGCAGUUUUUAGCCACCCAGCUCAUCAUGGAGACAUCAGAGUCUGGUAUCAGCGCCAAGAGCCUGAGGGGCCGUGAGAGCACACGCAAACAGGACUCUACUGACAAGGUGCUUCACUAGAAUUUUGACAAAAGCAGAGAGUACAGAAGAAGAGACAAGGGACUCUGUCUCCAUGUCCUCUCCUGCCUUCCUCCUUUCUCUUUUUGAUGGUGGCACUAGAGGUCGCCGUUGUGCCAUAGAAGCCGACCUCAAGAUGAAGAAAUGACCAUACUGUAUGAAAACGAUUCGCCAGUGUUCCCAGAGCUGCGAGACUGAACAUAUUCUCUGUCAUUUGGACAGAUUCUCACCCUGCAUACGGUACAACGUCUUCACCCGCGCUCCACAAUAAACGGUAGCCUGUAAUGCGGAGCAGCUCAUUUCUUGUGAGACAGCCAUGCAGAGAUGGAUUACAUACUGUGUAAUCCCAUGAUCAGAGGACCAUGUUCAUUUCAGAAAUAUUCUCAUGGCUGGUAUGAAAUCAGUUUUUGAUUGUUUCAACUUUUAGAUCACUUUUAAAUAUGGCUGUAUUGUUUGUGAUGAGUUACUUCACUUCCUAUGAACCAGUACCUACAUCCGUAUUCUACAUCGGUUUCAGUAUUUUUUAAAACAUCAUGUUAAUCAACUGUUUUGUGGACUUAAUAAAGAGCCCUCAACCCAUUAUGUAAUUUUUUUUAAGAUUAUUUUUUAGGGUUGUUGUGCCUUUAUUUGAUCGUGGCAGCUGAAGAGAAGUGACAGGAAGUUGGAGAGGGAGAGAUGAGGACAUACAGCAAAGGGCCACAUGUUGGAAUUGAACUGAGGCUGCAGCAGUAAGGGCUGAGUCCGUGUACACGGAGUACACGCUCUACCAGGUGAGCUACCAGGGCGCCAGAUCUUUCUAUGGGGGAUUUAAAUAGCCGGCAUUACAUAUCCUUUUUUUUUUUUUUUUUUUAAAUGAAAGUCUGCUUUACCUAACUCAUGACACUGAUGUAAGGAAAAACAAGAUUUCUCAGGAACGGUAGACUGUAGUGUCCACAUGGCACCAAACUGUUAAAAGUUCUGCGAGCAUUUCACUCUGGUAGAAGACCAGUGAUGAAGAUUUUUGCAUUUGUUAAGCCAUUUUCAGUGUUAUCAUAAUCAAUCAAUACCAACAAUCAGUUACACCCAUUCAUAGCUUUUAGAGAACCAGAGCCAACUCAUAAACACCACUUUACCCGUGCAGAUACAGUGCUCACGUUUUCAUUCUGACCACCUCCACAGACGCUGCAAAGUGAAAGGAUGAAGUGUUUUUUUGUAUUUCUGUUAAAAGUAUUUUAGUUUGACAACUUGAAGGAUAUACAUUACCGUUUCUAAGAUAAUAUCUUAAGUUGUACAUCUAGUCCUUGAAAUAAGUCAGACAUCUUUAGACCAGCAUUUAUGACCUGUCUGAUUCUCUCCUUAAACAUGUUAAAAUGUACAGAAAUGUUCAUGCUUUACUGUAUGUGUGGUAGUGUAGUAGUGAGUGGCUCAGUAAAUAUGUUUGGUUAAAGCUCAGCUUUUUGUUGUGAUAUUUUAAAAGUUUUUUCCAGUUCCAAUAAUCCAAAUAUUUGAUGUUCACUCUCAGUGUCGGUGCCUGACCACCCUGAAAUAAAGAGACUUUAAGACCA